AGAGUUUGAUCAUGGCUCAGAUUGAACGCUGGCGGCAGGCCUAACACAUGCAAGUCGAGCGGUAGCACAGAGAGCUUGCUCUCGGGUGACGAGCGGCGGACGGGUGAGUAAUGUCUGGGAAACUGCCUGAUGGAGGGGGAUAACUACUGGAAACGGUAGCUAAUACCGCAUAAUGUCGCAAGACCAAAGUGGGGGACCUUCGGGCCUCAUGCCAUCAGAUGUGCCCAGAUGGGAUUAGCUAGUAGGUGGGGUAAUGGCUCACCUAGGCGACGAUCCCUAGCUGGUCUGAGAGGAUGACCAGCCACACUGGAACUGAGACACGGUCCAGACUCCUACGGGAGGCAGCAGUGGGGAAUAUUGCACAAUGGGCGCAAGCCUGAUGCAGCCAUGCCGCGUGUGUGAAGAAGGCCUUCGGGUUGUAAAGCACUUUCAGCGGGGAGGAAGGCGGUAAGGUUAAUAACCUUAUCGAUUGACGUUACCCGCAGAAGAAGCACCGGCUAACUCCGUGCCAGCAGCCGCGGUAAUACGGAGGGUGCAAGCGUUAAUCGGAAUUACUGGGCGUAAAGCGCACGCAGGCGGUCUGUCAAGUCGGAUGUGAAAUCCCCGGGCUCAACCUGGGAACUGCAUUCGAAACUGGCAGGCUAGAGUCUUGUAGAGGGGGGUAGAAUUCCAGGUGUAGCGGUGAAAUGCGUAGAGAUCUGGAGGAAUACCGGUGGCGAAGGCGGCCCCCUGGACAAAGACUGACGCUCAGGUGCGAAAGCGUGGGGAGCAAACAGGAUUAGAUACCCUGGUAGUCCACGCCGUAAACGAUGUCGAUUUGGAGGUUGUGCCCUUGAGGCGUGGCUUCCGGAGCUAACGCGUUAAAUCGACCGCCUGGGGAGUACGGCCGCAAGGUUAAAACUCAAAUGAAUUGACGGGGGCCCGCACAAGCGGUGGAGCAUGUGGUUUAAUUCGAUGCAACGCGAAGAACCUUACCUGGUCUUGACAUCCACAGAACUUUCCAGAGAUGGAUUGGUGCCUUCGGGAACUGUGAGACAGGUGCUGCAUGGCUGUCGUCAGCUCGUGUUGUGAAAUGUUGGGUUAAGUCCCGCAACGAGCGCAACCCUUAUCCUUUGUUGCCAGCGGUCAGGCCGGGAACUCAAAGGAGACUGCCAGUGAUAAACUGGAGGAAGGUGGGGAUGACGUCAAGUCAUCAUGGCCCUUACGACCAGGGCUACACACGUGCUACAAUGGCAUAUACAAAGAGAAGCGACCUCGCGAGAGCAAGCGGACCUCAUAAAGUAUGUCGUAGUCCGGAUUGGAGUCUGCAACUCGACUCCAUGAAGUCGGAAUCGCUAGUAAUCGUAGAUCAGAAUGCUACGGUGAAUACGUUCCCGGGCCUUGUACACACCGCCCGUCACACCAUGGGAGUGGGUUGCAAAAGAAGUAGGUAGCUUAACCUUCGGGAGGGCGCUUACCACUUUGUGAUUCAUGACUGGGGUGAAGUCGUAACAAGGUAACCGUAGGGGAACCUGCGGUUGGAUCACCU
RNAcentral lists this ribosomal RNA (1528 nucleotides) under Klebsiella pneumoniae. Its description in RNAcentral is "bacterial SSU rRNA". It matches the Rfam family "Bacterial small subunit ribosomal RNA". The record is from RNAcentral. Lineage: Bacteria; Pseudomonadati; Pseudomonadota; Gammaproteobacteria; Enterobacterales; Enterobacteriaceae.